UACGUAGGUGGCAAGCGUUGUCCGGAUUUAUUGGGCGUAAAGGGCGCGCAGGCGGUUCGUUAGGUCCGAGGUGAAAUCUCCCGGCUCAACUGGGAGGGGUCUUCGGAUACCGGCGGACUCGAGGUGAGCAGAGGUGAGUGGAAUUCUGGGUGUAGUGGUGAAAUGCGUAGAUAUCCAGAGGAACACCAGUGGCGAAGGCGACUCACUGGGCUCCACCUGACGCUGAGGCGCGAAAGCGUGGGGAGCGAACCGG
RNAcentral lists this ribosomal RNA (253 nucleotides) under uncultured bacterium. RNAcentral describes it as "partial 16S ribosomal RNA". It matches the Rfam family "Bacterial small subunit ribosomal RNA", at positions 524 to 776 of the family's 1533-position model. The record is from RNAcentral.